Heligmosomoides polygyrus is the source of this 71-nucleotide non-coding RNA. The record is from Rfam. NCBI's taxonomy places the organism in Eukaryota, Metazoa, Nematoda, Chromadorea, Rhabditida, Heligmosomidae.
GCGCCGGUGGUGUAAGGCGAACAUCGCUGCCCGGAAAGCAGAAGAUGCGGGUUCGAGUCCCGCCUGGCGCU